GAUGAACGCUAGCUACAGGCUUAACACAUGCAAGUCGAGGGGCAGCAUGUCGGUUGCUUGCAACCGAUGAUGGCGACCGGCGCACGGGUGAGUAACGCGUAUCCAACCUACCCUUGUCCAUCGGAUAACCCGUCGAAAGGCGGCCUAACACGAUAUGCGGUUCUCAGCAGGCAUCUAACGAGAACGAAAUGUGAAGGAGAAGGAUGGGGAUGCGUCUGAUUAGCUUGUUGGUGGGGUAACGGCCCACCAAGGCAACGAUCAGUAGGGGUUCUGAGAGGAAGGUCCCCCACAUUGGAACUGAGACACGGUCCAAACUCCUACGGGAGGCAGCAGUGAGGAAUAUUGGUCAAUGGACGGGAGUCUGAACCAGCCAAGUAGCGUGCAGGAUGACGGCCCUAUGGGUUGUAAACUGCUUUUAUAGGGGGAUAAAGUGUGCCACGUGUGGCAUAUUGCAGGUACCCUAUGAAUAAGGACCGGCUAAUUCCGUGCCAGCAGCCGCGGUAAUACGGAAGGUCCGGGCGUUAUCCGGAUUUAUUGGGUUUAAAGGGAGCGUAGGCCGUCUUAUAAGCGUGUUGUGAAAUGUCGGGGCUCAACCUGGGCAUUGCAGCGCGAACUGUGAGACUUGAGUGCGCAGGAAGUAGGCGGAAUUCGUCGUGUAGCGGUGAAAUGCUUAGAUAUGACGAAGAACUCCGAUUGCGAAGGCAGCCUGCUGUAGCGCAACUGACGCUGAAGCUCGAAAGCGUGGGUAUCGAACAGG
This 757-nucleotide ribosomal RNA is filed under the name uncultured bacterium. RNAcentral's name for it is "bacterial SSU rRNA". It matches the Rfam family "Bacterial small subunit ribosomal RNA", at positions 28 to 776 of the family's 1533-position model. The record is from RNAcentral.